UAUAAGAAGCAUUCAAUAUGUUGUAAACAGUGUUAAUAAUAUUGCUCACACAUUGGUUUAUUUUUAUAUGGAUACCUUAUUAUUUACACUAAAUUUAUGUGUUCUUCUUGUUGUGGCUGAUUAUGCUCAUGGUACUAGGAAUGUCGCCAUCGGUAAAACAGCUUCAAUGAGUAGCAAUCACCGAGAAUACAAAUGGCUCGCCCAAACAGCGGUUGAUGGUAAUGUCGGGAACAACUCUAUGUUGAGCGAUACGUGUUUUCACACGACUAAAGAGUACCAGCCGUGGUGGAGGGUGGACCUACAUCAAGACUACUAUAUCACUAGUGUCGUUGUUUAUAACCGACUUGACUGCUGUGCAAACCAGGCACGGAAAAUUAAACUGACAAUCGGUAAAAGUUUGGACUCUAUGAGUCAGGCUGGACACCUAGAUGGCGGGUUCACCACUACCCAUACGUUCACCGUUGACCCACCAUUGGUAGGACGUUUCGUGCAAUUGCAGCUAUACGGGAUAACAGAGUUUUUCCAUCUAUGUGAGGUAGAAGUCAUGGCAUAUCCCUCAGGUACGUACAAUGUCGCCACUGGUAAAACUGCUUCACAGAGCAGCAACUUCAGUACACUCAAAUAUCACGCAUCAACGGCAGUUGAUGGUUAUGCCGGGGACAACCGUUUUGCCAGCGAUUCGUUUUUUAGUACAACGAAAGAGUACCAGCCGUGGUGGAGGGUGGACCUACAUCAAGACUACUAUAUCACCAGUGUCGUUGUUUAUAACCGACUUGACUGCUGUGCAAACCGGGCAAGGAACAUUAAACUGACAAUCGGUAAAACUUUAGACUCCAUGAGUCAGGCUGGAUACCUAGAUGUCUUGUUCACCACUCCCCAUACGUUCACCAUUGACCCACCAUUGGUAGGACGUUUCGUGCAAUUGCAGCUGAAAGGGAUAACGGAGAUUUUCCAUCUAUGUGAGGUAGAAGUCAUGGCAUACCCCUCAGGUACAUACAAUGUCGCCUUCGGUAAAACUGCUUCACAGAGCAGCAACUACAAUACAUCCAAAUAUAACGCAACAACGGCGGUUGAUGGCAAUGUCGGGGACAACGCUUUUGCCAGCGAUUCGUGUUUUUGUACGGCGAAAGAGUACCAGCCGUGGUGGAGGGUGGACCUACAUCAAAACUACUAUAUCACUAGUGUCGUUAUGCAUUACCAAUUGGACUGCUGUGGAAACCAGGCAAGGAACAUUAAACUGACCAUCGGUAAAAGUUUGGACUCCAUGAGUCAGGCUGGAUACCUAGAUGGCGGGUUUACCACUCAUACGUUCACCAUUGACCCACCAUUGGUAGGACGUUUCGUGCAAUUGCAGCUAAAAGGGAUAACGGAGUUUUUCCAUCUAUGCGAGGUAGAAGUCAUGGCAUAACCCUCAGGUGAUUAUGUAAUAUUACAAUAUUAUUUCGUAUAUAUAUGCUUCGUUAAGACAUUAUUAUCUGAAAUAACUAAAUAAUUAUUGAUGAAAAAACUCUCUCCUCAACGCCUGUUAAUGCAAAACACACUGAUUCAUUGUCCAGAAUGAGCGUUUAGAAUAAAUGUAAAUGCAAACGUCAUUGCAUAUUGUAUGGUGAGAAAACAGUAGAUGAUGUAAUAACUGACAGUCUACUGAUUUACAGUUGAUAAUUCUUUGUUUCAGUGUAAUCACCGAAUGACCAUGAACAUAUGUUUCAUGAGUGCCACAAGUGAACUAUUUACUUUUGUCGUUCACCAUUUCAAUUACAUUGCCAUUUUUAACUGAAACAAACACCUUGUUUUUCUCUUUAUAUUAUGCCUAAAUUGGAUAUAAAAUGAUAGUGAAUUGGAGUGUUUAAAAAAGAAGUGCUAAAUCGACUGCGAAGGUCGCGUCCGUUCAGGAAUGGAAUCAUUGGGUUUGUGUCCAAACCCUGUUUGCGCUUAAGUUUGAUUUGGAAGUUUAAGCGGGCUAAAAUUUAAAACAGUAGAUACUAUCAAAAUGUUAUUUUUCACUGAUUGAUAUUGUCAUAUGUUGUUUACUGAUAAAGCUCAAUAAACCACUAGAAGGCAUUCCAUUAAACUUUCCUAGUACUUCAGUUUGGAUGUUGCGAUAUAGUAUGACGAUUAAAUAAUAAAUAUCGCAAGUUACUUGAUACUUGAAUCAUGAUAUUUAUACGAAUCUUAAUACAGCGGUAAAGAUAUUAUAUCAGGUUAUAAUGAUUCGAUCCACAAUAAUAUAAAUACAGAAGCUUUGGUGUUUUAAAUAAAAAAAAACAUAUACAGCCGGUUUAGUGUUUCUAUAAAUUUCGAUGCUUGAAUCUUAGUUACUUUAAUAGAUAUAGUGAAGCAGUGAAGUUUUAUUUAAAGUUAGAUUGAUUGAUGGGAUAUAUAGUUGUUCUAAUUCACCAGUUUUGGUGUUUCCAUAUGAUAUAUGGUUUGUACCAUAAGAAUAUCAACUACUAUGGUAGCAGUUUGCGUGUGUUUUUUAACUUUUGAAUCACAAACAUGUAACCAAAACGAUGCUGUAGUGUUGGUGCUUUAUAUGAGGCUUAAAUCGUUCGAUGUAAUAAUUCCAGUUUAACUGAUUUUGUGAUCUUAUAUACUCCAAGGUUUAAGUUAUAUAAAAUGUAUCAUCUAGUUCAGCAAUUUUUAGUUCUUAUAAUUAUACAUUUAAUAAUAAUGUCAGCAUUCUAGAACAACAACUGAUUCUUAUACACCCCACGUCUUGAAUAAUACUGGUACAACAGUUUUGAGAUAUGAGUUUAGUCCGAGUCCUGAAUGAAAAUAUAACAAUUCUAGUACAACACUUGUGAUGUUUGUUUUUAUACCGGGGUCAGACUCACAAUAAUUAUGAUAAUCUCAACACUGCACUUUUAAAGUUUCUCUAUAAAAACUAAUUAUGAUAAUUAUAAGUAUUAUACAGCUGUUUUGGGACGAUUGAACAAAAAGUAUCACAAUGAUUCAAAUACAGUAGUUACAGGUGUUUUAAAAUACUUCGAGGUAUUUUUACAUAUUCCUUGAUUUCCCUCAUGGUAAUUAUAAAAAUUGAAAUACAGCAGUUUCAAUGUAUCUUUAUACUCCGAAGCUUGAAUCAAAAGAAAUAUAAUGAAUUGUUAUGUGGCGGUUUCGGUGCUUCUAAAUAAUAUGAGGCUUUAAUCAUGAACAUUAUAAAAGUUCUACUAAACAGUCGUUUUAAUGACUUUAUGUAAUAUAUAUUUAUAGGAGGCUUGAAUCAUGACAGUUUUAAUAUCUGCAAAAAAGCAGUUUUGGUGUAUAUUUAUAUAGAAGAUAUAUAUGAACCAGUAUAAUCACACUUAUUCUAGUUUUGUUGUCUUGGUGAUUGUUUAUUCUCUGAGGCUAUAAUCACAAAACUUACAAACAUUCUAGUACCAAACAUUUUAAUAUGUUACCCAUGACACAUGUUACUAUUUCUUCUAGAUAGGUUUGUAACUAUCAACGCGUUCUUUUCAUUAUAUAAGAUUCAGUCGACGGAAACGAUGGAGACAGCGAUGAUUUAAGUAAAACGACAGCUAAGGGAAAUAGUAUGCAUAACGUCUGUGUCCAAACACACAACGAUUGAUUCAUGAUUGCAAAGUAUUAAGAAACAACAUUUUUUAUCUAAAAAGACAAGACUCUUAUAAAUGUUCCAUUUGGAUGCCGGGUGUCCUAAUAUGUAUGCGUUAUCGUUGGCAUGGUUUGGUUGCACAGAAAACGAACAUGUAAGACAUAAAAUAAAAAAAAAUAAUGUAAUCUAAUAACAAUAAUAUACAAAAAUUAUAUACAAUAAAUAUGUUUUUAUGGUCUCCAAUUAUUGCCAAACAAUGUUAUUUACGUCCAAUUUCAUUAGAAAUUAGGCUUAAUUGUACAAACUGAAAUAACUGAUAUCUGUAAUUUUACAUAUUAGUUAUGAGCAAGCAAAGUUCAUUCAAAUGGUAAGAACAUUGAAACGGUUCAUCUAGCAUCAAAAUUUAACAUAUAGUUUGAAGUAUGAAGUUUUCAGAAAACUGCUUAUUGGUGAACCGAUUUCCUUAAAUACUCUUUUAAUUUUGUUUGUUACUUGAUACUUUAAUACUGCUUAUUCAAUUGCAGUAAGUGAAUGCAUAUUGAUUGGCGUUAUAUUCAAAAUAUUUUUUUGUCUAGCAGGUAUACCUUCCAUUUUUUAAUCCAUUUUAUGUAUUCUUAAUUGUAAGUGGUUACCUUAUACCAUUUACAAUAAGUCUUAUUUCUCAUUGGCCUUUAAAGUAUACCGCGACACCGGUUGCUUUUUCCAAGGCCUGAUUGCUGUUUGGAUCCCGGCAAUGGAUCGUCAAAAAGUUGAUGUGUGAAAUGACUACUUGUAAAAUGAUUAUAAAAUGUUAACUUAAAGCAGUUGACAAAAGCUAAAUGACUUGUUCAUGUUCGACUAGAAUGCCUUAAAAUAUUUAUAAUCCUUUAAAGCCAUGAAAUGUACAUCGAGGAUAUAUACGAAUAUUCAAACCUUUUAAGUAUUUAACUUUGUAAUUAUGCAAAUGUAUAAUACCUACUUAAGACAUUAUCGAUAUCAAUUUAUACAUACUGCGUUGUAAAAGAACGUCUAUUACAUUAAGACAAGAGCGACUUAUAUAAGUCUGCAUAUGUGUACUUCAAACAUUUAUAAAUCACACUUUAAAAUUUUAACUUACAAUUGAAUUAGAUAGAUGAUUAUCAUAUAUGUAACUACUACUUGUUGACCUUUAAAAGAAGCACCACAUGCAACAUAUCUGAUGAUACAUUAUGUUGGUGAUGAUAUUGCUAAAAAGAAAGCAUGCAUAACCAAACGCCUUCAGUUCUUCGUUAUUUGUCUACCACCAAUUAUUUCAGAGUUUUCUAUUAAUACGACAGUUAUAUCGGGAAUAUUUGGAGGUGUUUGUGCUAUGGUUAUUCUUGGAGCCACUGGGAUACUCUUAACGAGAAAGUACUCCAAAGGUUGCUUUUCUAAAGCAGAUGAGAAAUCUGAGGAAACCAGUC
Molecule: RNA transcript, 4977 nt
Organism: Mya arenaria
Lineage: Eukaryota; Metazoa; Mollusca; Bivalvia; Myida; Myidae
Gene name: fucolectin-2-like
Exons: 8
Source: RefSeq, a predicted model, not a curated record